This 468-nucleotide ribosomal RNA is filed under the name uncultured bacterium. RNAcentral's name for it is "partial 16S ribosomal RNA". It matches the Rfam family "Bacterial small subunit ribosomal RNA", at positions 28 to 507 of the family's 1533-position model. The record is from RNAcentral.
GACGAACGCUGGCGGCGUGCUUAACACAUGCAAGUCGAACGGAAAGGCCCUGCUUUUGUGGGGUGCUCGAGUGGCGAACGGGUGAGUAACAGGUGAGUAACCUGCCCUUGACUUUGGGAUAACUUCAGGUAACUGGGGCUAAUACCGGAUAGGAGCUCCUGCUGCGUGGUGGGCGUUGGAAAGUUUCGGCGGUUGGGGAUGGACUCGCGGCUUAUCAGCUUGUUGGUGGGGUAGUGGCUUACCAAGGCUUUGACGGGUAGCCGGCCUGAGAGGGUGACCGGCCACAUUGGGACUGCGAGAGGGCCCAGACUCCUACGGGGGGCAGCAGUGGGGAAUAUUGCACAAUGGGCGGAAGCCGGAUGCAGCAACGCCGCGGGCGGGAUGACGGCCUGUGGGGUGUAAACCGCUUUCGCCUGUGACGAAGCGUUAGUGACGGUAAUGGGUAAAGAAGCACCGGCUAACUACGUG